AGAGUUUGAUCCUGGCUCAGAUUGAACGCUGGCGGUAUGCUUAACACAUGCAAGUCGAACGGAAACGAAACUAGCUUGCUAGUAGGCGUCGAGUGGCGGACGGGUGAGUAACGCGUAGGAAUCUGCCUGAUAGUGGGGGAUAGCCCGAAGAAAUUCGGAUUAAUACCGCAUAAUCUAUUCGUAGUAAAGUGGGGGACUUUCGAGCCUCACGCUAUCAGAUGAGCCUGCGUAAGAUUAGCUUGUUGGUAGGGUAAAAGCCUACCAAGGCUACGAUCUUUAGCUGGUCUGAGAGGAUGAUCAGCCACAUCGGGACUGAGACACGGCCCGAACUCCUACGGGAGGCAGCAGUGGGGAAUAUUGGACAAUGGGGGCAACCCUGAUCCAGCAAUACCGCGUGUGUGAAGAAGGCCUGAGGGUUGUAAAGCACUUUCAAUUGUGAAGAAAAGUUAACGGUUAAUAACCGUUGACCUUGACGUUAACUUUAGAAGAAGCACCGGCUAACUCCGUGCCAGCAGCCGCGGUAAUACGGAGGGUGCAAGCGUUAAUCGGAAUUACUGGGCGUAAAGCGUGCGUAGGCGGUUUAUUAAGUCAGAUGUGAAAGCCCCGGGCUUAACCUGGGAACUGCAUUUGAAACUGGUCAACUAGAGUAUGGUAGAGGAAAGUGGAAUUUCUGGUGUAGCGGUGAAAUGCGUAGAUAUCAGAAGGAACAUCAAUGGCGAAGGCAGCUUUCUGGACCAAUACUGACGCUGAGGUACGAAAGCGUGGGUAGCAAACAGGAUUAGAUACCCUGGUAGUCCACGCCGUAAACGAUGAUAACUAGCCGUUGGGGGGAUUUACCCCUUAGUGGCGAAGCUAACGCGUUAAGUUAUCCGCCUGGGGAGUACGGCCGCAAGGCUAAAACUCAAAGGAAUUGACGGGGACCCGCACAAGCGGUGGAGCAUGUGGUUUAAUUCGAUGCAACGCGAAGAACCUUACCUGGUCUUGACAUCCUGCGAACUUUCUAGAAAUAGAUUGGUGCCUUCGGGAACGCAGUGACAGGUGCUGCAUGGCUGUCGUCAGCUCGUGUCGUGAGAUGUUGGGUUAAGUCCCGUAACGAGCGCAACCCCUAUCCUUAUUUGCCAGCACAUUAUGGUGGGAACUAUAAGGAGACUGCCGGUGAUAAACCGGAGGAAGGCGGGGACGACGUCAAGUCAUCAUGGCCCUUACGACCAGGGCUACACACGUGCUACAAUGGGAAGGACAAAGAGCCGCGAAGCCGCGAGGUGUAGCUAAUCUCAUAAAUCUUUUCGUAGUCCGGAUUGGAGUCUGCAACUCGACUCCAUGAAGUCGGAAUCGCUAGUAAUCGUAGAUCAGAAUGCUACGGUGAAUACGUUCCCGGGUCUUGUACACACCGCCCGUCAUACCAUGGGAGUGGGUUGCACCAGAAGUGGCUAGUCUAACUUUGUGAGGACGGUCACCACGGUGUGAUUCAUGACUGGGGUAAAGUCGUAACAAGGUAACC
This 1501-nucleotide ribosomal RNA is filed under the name uncultured bacterium. Its description in RNAcentral is "bacterial SSU rRNA". It matches the Rfam family "Bacterial small subunit ribosomal RNA". The record is from RNAcentral.